This 2925-nucleotide ribosomal RNA is filed under the name Escherichia coli. RNAcentral describes it as "23S ribosomal RNA". It matches the Rfam family "Bacterial large subunit ribosomal RNA". The record is from RNAcentral. Lineage: Bacteria; Pseudomonadati; Pseudomonadota; Gammaproteobacteria; Enterobacterales; Enterobacteriaceae.
GGGUUGUGAGGUUAAGCGACUAAGCGUACACGGUGGAUGCCCUGGCAGUCAGAGGCGAUGAAGGACGUGCUAAUCUGCGAUAAGCGUCGGUAAGGUGAUAUGAACCGUUAUAACCGGCGAUUUCCGAAUGGGGAAACCCAGUGUGAUUCGUCACACUAUCAUUAACUGAAUCCAUAGGUUAAUGAGGCGAACCGGGGGAACUGAAACAUCUAAGUACCCCGAGGAAAAGAAAUCAACCGAGAUUCCCCCAGUAGCGGCGAGCGAACGGGGAGCAGCCCAGAGCCUGAAUCAGUGUGUGUGUUAGUGGAAGCGUCUGGAAAGGCGCGCGAUACAGGGUGACAGCCCCGUACACAAAAAUGCACAUGCUGUGAGCUCGAUGAGUAGGGCGGGACACGUGGUAUCCUGUCUGAAUAUGGGGGGACCAUCCUCCAAGGCUAAAUACUCCUGACUGACCGAUAGUGAACCAGUACCGUGAGGGAAAGGCGAAAAGAACCCCGGCGAGGGGAGUGAAAAAGAACCUGAAACCGUGUACGUACAAGCAGUGGGAGCACGCUUAGGCGUGUGACUGCGUACCUUUUGUAUAAUGGGUCAGCGACUUAUAUUCUGUAGCAAGGUUAACCGAAUAGGGGAGCCGAAGGGAAACCGAGUCUUAACUGGGCGUUAAGUUGCAGGGUAUAGACCCGAAACCCGGUGAUCUAGCCAUGGGCAGGUUGAAGGUUGGGUAACACUAACUGGAGGACCGAACCGACUAAUGUUGAAAAAUUAGCGGAUGACUUGUGGCUGGGGGUGAAAGGCCAAUCAAACCGGGAGAUAGCUGGUUCUCCCCGAAAGCUAUUUAGGUAGCGCCUCGUGAAUUCAUCUCCGGGGGUAGAGCACUGUUUCGGCAAGGGGGUCAUCCCGACUUACCAACCCGAUGCAAACUGCGAAUACCGGAGAAUGUUAUCACGGGAGACACACGGCGGGUGCUAACGUCCGUCGUGAAGAGGGAAACAACCCAGACCGCCAGCUAAGGUCCCAAAGUCAUGGUUAAGUGGGAAACGAUGUGGGAAGGCCCAGACAGCCAGGAUGUUGGCUUAGAAGCAGCCAUCAUUUAAAGAAAGCGUAAUAGCUCACUGGUCGAGUCGGCCUGCGCGGAAGAUGUAACGGGGCUAAACCAUGCACCGAAGCUGCGGCAGCGACGCUUAUGCGUUGUUGGGUAGGGGAGCGUUCUGUAAGCCUGUGAAGGUGUGCUGUGAGGCAUGCUGGAGGUAUCAGAAGUGCGAAUGCUGACAUAAGUAACGAUAAAGCGGGUGAAAAGCCCGCUCGCCGGAAGACCAAGGGUUCCUGUCCAACGUUAAUCGGGGCAGGGUGAGUCGACCCCUAAGGCGAGGCCGAAAGGCGUAGUCGAUGGGAAACAGGUUAAUAUUCCUGUACUUGGUGUUACUGCGAAGGGGGGACGGAGAAGGCUAUGUUGGCCGGGCGACGGUUGUCCCGGUUUAAGCGUGUAGGCUGGUUUUCCAGGCAAAUCCGGAAAAUCAAGGCUGAGGCGUGAUGACGAGGCACUACAGUGCUGAAGCAACAAAUGCCCUGCUUCCAGGAAAAGCCUCUAAGCAUCAGGUAACAUCAAAUCGUACCCCAAACCGACACAGGUGGUCAGGUAGAGAAUACCAAGGCGCUUGAGAGAACUCGGGUGAAGGAACUAGGCAAAAUGGUGCCGUAACUUCGGGAGAAGGCACGCUGAUAUGUAGGUGAAGCGACUUGCUCGUGGAGCUGAAAUCAGUCGAAGAUACCAGCUGGCUGCAACUGUUUAUUAAAAACACAGCACUGUGCAAACACGAAAGUGGACGUAUACGGUGUGACGCCUGCCCGGUGCCGGAAGGUUAAUUGAUGGGGUCAGCGCAAGCGAAGCUCUUGAUCGAAGCCCCGGUAAACGGCGGCCGUAACUAUAACGGUCCUAAGGUAGCGAAAUUCCUUGUCGGGUAAGUUCCGACCUGCACGAAUGGCGUAAUGAUGGCCAGGCUGUCUCCACCCGAGACUCAGUGAAAUUGAACUCGCUGUGAAGAUGCAGUGUACCCGCGGCAAGACGGAAAGACCCCGUGAACCUUUACUAUAGCUUGACACUGAACAUUGAGCCUUGAUGUGUAGGAUAGGUGGGAGGCUUUGAAGUGUGGACGCCAGUCUGCAUGGAGCCGACCUUGAAAUACCACCCUUUAAUGUUUGAUGUUCUAACGUUGACCCGUAAUCCGGGUUGCGGACAGUGUCUGGUGGGUAGUUUGACUGGGGCGGUCUCCUCCUAAAGAGUAACGGAGGAGCACGAAGGUUGGCUAAUCCUGGUCGGACAUCAGGAGGUUAGUGCAAUGGCAUAAGCCAGCUUGACUGCGAGCGUGACGGCGCGAGCAGGUGCGAAAGCAGGUCAUAGUGAUCCGGUGGUUCUGAAUGGAAGGGCCAUCGCUCAACGGAUAAAAGGUACUCCGGGGAUAACAGGCUGAUACCGCCCAAGAGUUCAUAUCGACGGCGGUGUUUGGCACCUCGAUGUCGGCUCAUCACAUCCUGGGGCUGAAGUAGGUCCCAAGGGUAUGGCUGUUCGCCAUUUAAAGUGGUACGCGAGCUGGGUUUAGAACGUCGUGAGACAGUUCGGUCCCUAUCUGCCGUGGGCGCUGGAGAACUGAGGGGGGCUGCUCCUAGUACGAGAGGACCGGAGUGGACGCAUCACUGGUGUUCGGGUUGUCAUGCCAAUGGCACUGCCCGGUAGCUAAAUGCGGAAGAGAUAAGUGCUGAAAGCAUCUAAGCACGAAACUUGCCCCGAGAUGAGUUCUCCCUGACCCUUUAAGGGUCCUGAAGGAACGUUGAAGACGACGACGUUGAUAGGCCGGGUGUGUAAGCGCAGCGAUGCGUUGAGCUAACCGGUACUAAUGAACCGUGAGGCUUAACCUUACAACGCCGAAG